RNAcentral lists this ribosomal RNA (301 nucleotides) under uncultured bacterium. Its description in RNAcentral is "partial 16S ribosomal RNA". It matches the Rfam family "Bacterial small subunit ribosomal RNA", at positions 509 to 807 of the family's 1533-position model. The record is from RNAcentral.
CAGUCGCCACGGUAAUACGAAGGGGGCUAGCGUUGUUCGGAAUUACUGGGCGUAAAGCGCAUGUAGGCGGAUAUUUAAGUCAGGGGUGAAAUCCCGCAGCUCAACUGCGGAACUGCCUUUGAUACUGGGUAUCUUGAGUAUGGAAGAGGUAAGUGGAAUUGCGAGUGUAGAGGUGAAAUUCGUAGAUAUUCGCAGGAACACCAGUGGCGAAGGCGGCUUACUGGUCCAUUACUGACGCUGAGGUGCGAAAGCGUGGGGAGCAAACAGGAUUAGAUACCCCAGUAGUCCCUGUCUCUUAUAC